GACGAACGCUGGCGGCGCGCCUAACACAUGCAAGUCGAACGGAGCUUAGAGAGCUUGCUUUUUAAGCUUAGUGGCGAACGGGUGAGUAACGUGUGAGUAACCUGCCCUAGAGUGGGGGACAACAGUUGGAAACGACUGCUAAUACCGCAUAAGCCCACGGUACCGCAUGGUACUGAGGGAAAAGGAUUUAUUCGCUUUAGGAUGGACUCGCGUCCAAUUAGCUAGUUGGUGAGGUAACGGCCCACCAAGGCGACGAUUGGUAGCCGGACUGAGAGGUUGAACGGCCACAUUGGGACUGAGACACGGCCCAGACUCCUACGGGAGGCAGCAGUGGGGGAUAUUGCACAAUGGGGGAAACCCUGAUGCAGCGACGCCGCGUGGAGGAAGAAGGUUUUCGGAUUGUAAACUCCUGUCGUUAGGGACGAUAAUGACGGUACCUAACAAGAAAGCACCGGCUAACUACGUGCCAGCAGCCGCGGUAAAACGUAGGGUGCAAGCGUUGUCCGGAAUUACUGGGUGUAAAGGGAGCGCAGGCGGGAAGACAAGUUGGAAGUGAAAACCAUGGGCUCAACCCAUGAAUUGCUUUCAAAACUGUUUUUCUUGAGUAGUGCAGAGGUAGAUGGAAUUCCCGGUGUAGCGGUGGAAUGCGUAGAUAUCGGGAGGAACACCAGUGGCGAAGGCGGUCUACUGGGCACCAACUGACGCUGAGGCUCGAAAGCAUGGGUAGCAAACAGGAUUAGAUACCCUGGUAGUCCAUGCCGUAAACGAUGAA
Molecule: ribosomal RNA, 772 nt
Filed under: uncultured bacterium
Lineage: Bacteria
Description: bacterial SSU rRNA
Rfam family: Bacterial small subunit ribosomal RNA
Source: RNAcentral